AUGGCGGCUCUCGCUCAGCCGACACAACAAGGAUUCCUCAAGGGCUGUACGGCUGUAAGGGGGGAUAUGGGGGGUAAAUGUGGGGCAGGGCUCUAUGGGGCAAUGGGGAUCUAUGGGGCAGGGAUAUGUGGGGCAAUGGGGAUCUAUGGGGCAGGGAUAUGUGGGGCAAUGGGGAUCUAUGGGGCAGGGAUAUGUGGGGCAGGGAUCUAUGGGGCAAUGGGGCUCUAUGGGGCAGGGAUAUGUGGGGCAGGGAUAUGUGGGGCAGGGAUCUAUGGGGUAAUGGGGAUCUAUGGGGCAGGGAUAUGUGGGGCAAUGGGGCUCUAUGGGGCAAUGGGGCUCUAUGGGGCAGGAAUCUAUGGGGCAGGGCUCUAUGGGGCAAUGGGGCUCUAUGGGGCAGGGCUCUAUGGGGCAAUGGGGCUCUAUGGGGCAGGAAUCUAUGGGGCAAUGGGGAUCUAUGGGGCAGGGAUAUGUGGGGCAGGGAUCUAUGGGGCAAUGGGGCUCUAUGGGGCAAUGGGGCUCUAUGGGGCAAGGCUCUAUGGGGCAGGGCUCUAUGGGGAAGAGAUCUAUGGGGCAAUGGGGCUCUAUGGGGCAAUGGGGCUCUAUGGGGCAGGGAUAUGUGGGGUAGGGCUCUAUGGGGAAGAGAUCUAUGGGGCAGGGCUCUAUGGGGCAGGGAUCUAUGGGGAAGAGGUCUAUGGGGCAAUGGGGCUCUAUGGGGCAGGGAUUUAUGGGGCAGGGAUCUAUGGGGCAGAUAUGGGGCAAUGGGGCUCUAUGGGGCAGUGGGGCUGUAUGGGGCAAUGGGGCUCUAUGGGGCAGGGCUCUAUGGGGCAGUGGGGCAGGAUCUAUGGGGCAGACACUGACCUUUGCUGCUGGCUAUGGGGCUGGCUGCCCCCCACGUGUUCGGGGCCGUCCCCCAUCUCGUCCCUCAGUUCCCUCAAUAGGGCCGAGCUCAGAGCGCGGCGACGGGCGGCUUGUAGGGCACGGCUAUGGGGCGAGGAGGCAUCGGGGGCUGCGGGUAUGGGGGGAUAUGGGGUUAUAUGGGGUAAUAUGGGGGGGAUGAAUGGGGCGAUAUGGUGAGUUUAUAUGGGUUUAUAAGUGGGAUAUGGGGGGAGUGGUGCAGAAUAUGGGUUAGAGAGAGAAUAAUGGGGGAUAUGGGGAGAAUGGGUUAAUAUGGGGUUAUAUGGGUAUAUGGGUGGGAUAGGGCAAUUUGAUAUGGGUUAUAGUUGGGUAUAAUGGGUAUAGUGGGUUAUAUUGGGGUCUUAUGGGGGGAUAUAUGGGGGGAUAUGGGGGAUGCUGUUAUAGUGGGGUGUCUCUAGGGUCUAUGGGGUGUCUAUGGGUGUCAUAUGGGGGUGGCUUUGGGGGGGAUAUUUGUGGGUAUGGGGUGGCAAUGGGCCUAUGGGCAUAUUGGGUGUCUAUGGGGGCUGAAAUUGGGGGGCUUAUGGGGCCAUAUGGGUGGGAUAGUGGGGUUACUAUGGGGUGUUAUAUGGGGGCGAUAUGGGGCAGAUAUGGGGUUAUAAUGGGGGGAUAUGGCAGAUUGGGGUUAUUAUGGGGGGGAUUGGGUGAUAUGGGGGGAUAUGGGCGAUAUGGGGUUAUAUUGGUGGGGAUAUGGGGAGAUAUGGGGUUAUAUAGGGGGAUUACUGGGUGCAAGAUAUGGGUUUAUAUGGGGUUAUAUGGGGGGAUAUGGGCAGAUAUGGGUUAUAUGGGGU
RNAcentral lists this long non-coding RNA (1703 nucleotides) under Coturnix japonica (Japanese quail). RNAcentral's name for it is "lncRNA (ENSCJPG00005002950.1)". Lineage: Eukaryota; Metazoa; Chordata; Aves; Galliformes; Phasianidae. The record is from RNAcentral.